CUUGCCUCAUAUAAGAGGUCCAGCCUGCCCAGUGACAUUGUUCAACGGCCGCGGUAUCCUAACCGUGCGAAGGUAGCGUAAUCACUUGUUCUUUAAAUGAGGACUAGUAUGAAAGGCACCACGAGAGUCAUACUGUCUCCUUUCUCUAAUCAGUGAAACUAAUCUCCCCGUGAAGAAGCGAGGAUAAAAAUAUAAGACGAGAAGACCCUAUGGAGCUUAAAACAAUUAACACCUGCCCCUUAAUCCUUAAUUUCAGAAAAAUUUUCUACCUUGGCAUUAUGAUUAUUAGUUUUCGGUUGGGGUGACCACGGAACAAAAAACAACUUCCGCAAUGAAAGACACUCCCACUUAGUCAAGAGCUACAGCCCUACACAUCAACAAAUUGACACUAAUUGACCCAACAUGUUGAUCAAUGAAC
RNAcentral lists this ribosomal RNA (418 nucleotides) under Adenomera thomei group sp. ABGD cluster 69. RNAcentral describes it as "partial large subunit ribosomal RNA". It matches the Rfam family "Bacterial large subunit ribosomal RNA", at positions 1835 to 2346 of the family's 2925-position model. Lineage: Eukaryota; Metazoa; Chordata; Amphibia; Anura; Leptodactylidae. The record is from RNAcentral.